GGUAAAUUUUGAGUAAUCGCGGCCUAGUUAUCUAGGCUGAGGAAAGUCCACGCCAGCACGAGCUGAGAUGCUUGUAGUGUUCGCGCUUAGCCCAAUAAGCUAAGGUACCUUUUGGUAACGGCAGUGAAAGCACUAAGGUUUUACUAUGUGUUAAUAGCUUGAAAGUGCCACAGAGACGUAGUAUCAAGGGAAAUCUUGAUAGUGGAACGAGGUAAACCCCACGAGCUGGCAACCCAAACUUUGGUAGGGGCGCUUCAUAACGAGAAAUGAAUCUACUGUGAAGGCUUAAUUGUAGAUAGAUGAUUACUAAUUGUAUCGGAAGACCGAGCCGAUACAUGAACAGAACGUGGCUUAUAGAAAUUUACUUGGU
RNAcentral lists this RNase P RNA (370 nucleotides) under Companilactobacillus ginsenosidimutans. Its description in RNAcentral is "Lactobacillus ginsenosidimutans bacterial RNase P". It matches the Rfam family "Bacterial RNase P class B". Rfam says of the family: Ribonuclease P (RNase P) is a ubiquitous endoribonuclease, found in archaea, bacteria and eukarya as well as chloroplasts and mitochondria. Its best characterised activity is the generation of mature 5'-ends of tRNAs by cleaving the 5'-leader elements of precursor-tRNAs. The record is from RNAcentral. Lineage: Bacteria; Bacillati; Bacillota; Bacilli; Lactobacillales; Lactobacillaceae.